RNAcentral lists this transfer RNA (72 nucleotides) under Caudoviricetes sp. Its description in RNAcentral is "tRNA-Trp". It matches the Rfam family "tRNA". From Rfam's summary of the family: Transfer RNA (tRNA) molecules are approximately 80 nucleotides in length. Lineage: Duplodnaviria; Heunggongvirae; Uroviricota; Caudoviricetes. The record is from RNAcentral.
ACGUGUUUGGUGUAAAGGUAACAUAGCAGACUCCAAAUCUGUUAGAUGUGGGUUCGAAUCCUACAGCACGUG